CCCACGACCCACACAGCCUCGGGCCCCACCCACGAUGCACACACGCCCAACCCACGCGCACACACACCCACGUUGGAUCCCAUCUCUCGUGUCAUCCUCGAUCCCCUUUCUCCACCCCACGCUGCCGCCAGAUUUCGGUGAUCCCAGCCGUUCCCCACCGCCCAGCUCUCCUCCCCGAGGUCACCUCUCCCUGCUCACCAUUUCCACCGACCGGCUUCUCUCCUUGCCCAGGAGAGUCCCGCCUCCUCGCUGCCAAGGAGGCCGCCGCCCGCCGCCUCGAGCGGCGCCGCCUCCUCCUCGAGCGCCACGCCGCAGACCUCACCUCCCGCGCCCUCACCGCCCGCGCUGACACCGACGCCACCCAUGCGCGCUGCCUCGCCGUCGCCCGCGACAUCAGCUCGACCAACGGCGAGAUCGAGGACGCGCAGUAGAAGGCAGAGAAGUGGGACCGCUUCUACGAGUCCAAGAGGAAGGAGAUGGAGGAGCUCCGGCCGUCAUCUCCACAGCCUCCAUCCACCCCGGCCGCAGCCACUUCUCAACCCCACGAGAAGCCUCCUGGCGUAGUUCCUCGUCACCGUCCUCCUCCCGGUCGUUUUCCACCUCCGACUCCACCUGGUGGUCCCAGAGGCGACGAUUCCCCGUCGCCUCGGCCGACGUAGAGCUCUGCGAGGCUGCCGCAGGUGAUGGAGACUCUGUCCACGUCAUCGAGACGCCGCAGCCCAACUCAAGUGUUAAGUUCAGCAUGGAGGUGCCUCCCUUGAUAUGCCAGGAGUGCUACCAAACAACUUUCUCGAGUACUCAAAGCAUUUCGAGGUACCAUUUCUAUGCUAAAACCUGUAUCAAAUGAUGAACAUUGGAAUUCGUGAGGACAAACAUUAUGCAAAGAAUUACAAAGCACAGCCAGGAAUGUGGGCUUAUGCCAAAUCUUAACGACUACAAGUUCAGUAAUCAUGAACUGCAGAUACAGAGUUCCGGGCGAUGUCGCAGCGGGAGCUCGUCAGGAAGUGCAGAGGCUCAAGGCCUCUGUGUCUCAACUAUAGGCAGCCCUGCAGGAGCUGCAGAGCAGCGGGUUGCACUCGGACGAUGCCGGGAUCGGGGCUGCGGAAGCCAGGAAGGCCGACCUCAUGGCUAAGAAGGCCAAGCUGGACGAGACCCUGGCUGCAGCCCGCCAGUUCAGAGCACUGCUUUGGAAGUAGCUCAAGAAAGCCUUCACGUCAGAGGUUAGGGAUCAAAAGGCAGCACAAAACUGACUAGUUAUGUGGUACAAGCAAAACGACAUUCAUUAGCUAGCUCAUCAAUCGCUUCGGAUUAAGGAUGCAAUGCAAGUGUGGCGGGCUAGUGGACAGUAGCAUAGUAGUACAAAUGUGGUGUUACUUUUAGGCAAAUGUUGAGCAAAUUUUGAACUAAUGGAUGAGUUUCGUGGGACGAAGCGGGCUGCCACUUGCACUCCUCCUAUUGAAGAAACGAACUUCAAAUGACUCUACAUGCAGAUGCAUGCUUUUUAUUUCAGUCUUGUUUAGAGGAGGCCCCGGCGGCGUCGAGCUGCUGUUGCUGCGGGCACAGCGAUGUUGGCGUGGUCGGGAUGGUCGCAGCCCUUCAAGAUUCUCAACGGCGGUGUCUCGACGCUGAUGGCAGAGUCGACGGCGAGCAUCGGCGGGUACAGGUUCAGAUCAUCCAUGAAUUGAUGGAGUAGGAGGACGAGCAGCAGCAGCAAAUCAACCUGAUGAUGACGGGGUGCGGAAGGCAAUGGUGAUCAUGCUGAUGGCAUGAAGAAGGCUGAUGACCACAACCUGGACCUUUUGGCAUUUAGAGAUGGCAAACAUAGGCGGCGUGGAGACAACAACCUGGACCACCCACCUCCCUUGCCUUUUUAAUUUUGGUUGUGGUGGUUGCGAUCGCAAAUUAGUAUGUAGUGUGCUUGUGGAGUUGGGUCUGGACUGCAGUGUCCAUCCAGUAGGUUAGGUGUUGUUGCUGCUAGAUCCCAUGAUGCUCACCUAAGUUUUGUGUUAUGUGGAGGCCAACCUUUGUGAUCUUAUUUGUCGACACUUGUGUGAUCUCAUCUUACUUUGUGAUACAAGUUGUACGAUAUAUGUUUUUAUGGAUGA
This is a long non-coding RNA of Triticum aestivum (bread wheat), 2105 nucleotides long. RefSeq lists it as uncharacterized. The transcript is spliced from 3 exons. NCBI's taxonomy places the organism in Eukaryota, Viridiplantae, Streptophyta, Magnoliopsida, Poales, Poaceae. The record is from RefSeq and is a predicted model, not a curated record.